RNAcentral lists this ribosomal RNA (254 nucleotides) under uncultured bacterium. RNAcentral's name for it is "partial 16S ribosomal RNA". It matches the Rfam family "Bacterial small subunit ribosomal RNA", at positions 524 to 776 of the family's 1533-position model. The record is from RNAcentral.
UACGGGGGGGGCAAGCGUUGUUCGGAAUUACUGGGCGUAAAGGGCUCGUAGGGGGCCAACUAAGUCAGACGUGAAAUCCCUCGGCUUAACCGGGGAACUGCGUCUGAUACUGGAUGGCUUGAGUUUGGGAGAGGGACGCGGAAUUCCAGGUGUAGCGGUGAAAUGCGUAGAUAUCUGGAGGAACACCGGUGGCGAAGGCGGCGUCCUGGACCAAUACUGACACUGAGUGAGCGAAAGCCAGGGGAGCAAACGGG